UAUGGCCACAUCAUGUUGAAACACUAGUUCCCAUACAUCCACUGAAGUUAAGGAAUGUUGAGCCUGGUCAGUACCUAGAUGGGUGAUUACUUGGGAAAACCAGGUGCUGUGA
This is a non-coding RNA of Acanthosepion pharaonis, 112 nucleotides long. Lineage: Eukaryota; Metazoa; Mollusca; Cephalopoda; Sepiida; Sepiidae. The record is from the annotation of a GenBank genome assembly.